RNAcentral lists this ribosomal RNA (328 nucleotides) under uncultured eukaryote. Its description in RNAcentral is "partial 18S ribosomal RNA". It matches the Rfam family "Eukaryotic small subunit ribosomal RNA", at positions 1470 to 1796 of the family's 1831-position model. The record is from RNAcentral.
CCCUUAGAUGUUCUGGGCCGCACGCGCGCUACACUGUUCGACGCAGCGAGUCUUAACCUUGACCGAAAGGUUUGGGUAAUCUUCAGCAAAGUCGAACGUGAUGGGGAUCGAUCAUUGCAAUUAUUGAUCGUGAACGAGGAAUUCCUAGUAAGUGCAAGUCAUCAGCUUGCGCUGAUUACGUCCCUGCCCUUUGUACACACCGCCCGUCGCUACUACCGAUUGAAUGGUCCGGUGAGGCUUUGGGAUCUGAGCGGAAAGAGCGUUUCGCUGUUUCUGCUCGGAAAACUCAGUCGAACCUUAUCAUUUAGAGGAAGGAGAAGUCGUAACA